RNAcentral lists this transfer RNA (76 nucleotides) under Opitutales bacterium. RNAcentral's name for it is "tRNA-Phe". It matches the Rfam family "tRNA". Rfam says of the family: Transfer RNA (tRNA) molecules are approximately 80 nucleotides in length. Their secondary structure includes four short double-helical elements and three loops (D, anti-codon, and T loops). Further hydrogen bonds mediate the characteristic L-shaped molecular structure. tRNAs have two regions of fundamental functional importance: the anti-codon, which is responsible for specific mRNA codon recognition, and the 3' end, to which the tRNAs corresponding amino acid is attached (by aminoacyl-tRNA synthetases). tRNAs cope with the degeneracy of the genetic code in two manners: having more than one tRNA (with a specific anti-codon) for a particular amino acid; and 'wobble' base-pairing, i.e. permitting non-standard base-pairing at the 3rd anti-codon position. The record is from RNAcentral. Lineage: Bacteria; Pseudomonadati; Verrucomicrobiota; Opitutia; Opitutales. RNAcentral also lists the same sequence under 1 other name.
GGCUGGAUAGCUCAGUCGGUAGAGCAGAGGCCUGAAAAGCCUUGUGUCAUCGGUUCGAUUCCGAUUCUAGCCACCA